GGCGCGGGACCCGUCUCUGGCUGGAGGGGGGCGAGCGGCCGGCCGGGCUUUGCCAACUCGCGCGCAUCGCGCGCCCCGGGUUGGUGUACGAGUGAGAACGAAAGUAAGAAAAGCGCCGGGGGGGUUUUGCAAAGCUCUGCCGCUGAGUCGCUUUGGGAAUGACUCGCUGCGAUGCUUUGGGAAUUCCUUCCCGCGCGGGGUGAGCGAAGGGGAAGUGCCGCGGCACGGCCGGCGUGGGAAAGCGUCCCUCUUCCCCUGCCUAAACCUGCGAGCAGCACCCCAGGCAAAAAACAAACCAAAGCGCAACAAAAAAAACCCAAAAAACCCCCCCCAAAACCCAGCGUGUUUAGUGCUUUGCUUUACCAGGAAUCUCUGAAAAUCCCCAGCCCUGCUUGUAAACAACAAUUCCUCCCGUCGUUGAAGAUGACGUACUUAAAAAGUGGUUUAGUUUCGCUGGGACCUACGCCUUUCAAACCAGCCGGCGCGACCUGGAUGUCCCGACUUUUCUAGCGACCAAAAUUCUGAUGCACGCAGGAGGAGACGCCAGCUGCCCGCCGCAGCGACCGUCGUUGCUACGACUGCACGGGGACACCCGGGAGCUUCCCGGAGAGAGGAAACUGGGGCUACCCAAAGGCCACGGGGAUGGGCACCCCUAGUCGCACCCAUGUGUGCCUCCAGCCCCGGGCUCGGCCCCGCAGCAGGAGGGGGGCAGAGGCGAAAACCGGUGCCCGAGUGAGAUGCUGCGUCCCUGCACGGCCCUGUACCAGCACCAGCACCAGCACCAGCACCAGCACCAGCACCAGCACCAGCAGGACGAGGAGGAGGAGGAGGAGGAGGAGGGGUGAUGGCAGAAGGGGAAGAGCAUCCCGGGGCUCUGCUCUCCCCUCUCCUGCAGCAGCCGCGCUGGCUGCUGACUCAUUUUUGGCCAGCGAGCCCACGCGAGGCGCAGCACCUCCUGCCGCCCCGCCGUUCCGUGGGGUUUUUUUUCCUUUCUUCUUCGUCAAACGGGUGCCAAGUUACCAAAACCCCUUGUCACGUGGCCUGCGACACGGCAGCCCCGCUUUCAUUUACUGGAACUGCACAGCCACGAAAAAACACAAGUUUCCAGCAGCCCAGCCGAGCCGCUGACGCUCUCGGAGGGCGCUGGGGCUGCGGGGUCCCAGGGACACCCACAGCCCCCUCCCCGCCAUCGGGGCUCGGACCAAGCACCCGCGGCUUCGAAGAGACACUCACCCAAACCGUGGCUCCUUCCCCGCAUCCUCCGGAGCCGGCGCCUGCGAUGGGGAGAGAGAACAUCAGAGCCGGCAAAGGGCCAGGGAAUCGCCUACGAAGGAACGAGAUCUUCGUUAGCGGUAACGGGAAUGCCGGACGCGGGACCAGAGCGGGACCCCGCGCGUGGACGUUUCGCCCCUUGGCCUCCAGGUUUACACCGGCGCGGUUUUGUGCCACGGGGUGGAAAUCGGCCGGGGCUUCGUGCCGCCUCGGACGCCGGUGGCGCGCGCCCGGGGCAGGAUGCUCAACCACGGGGGCUUUGUCCCAGGGAUUCAUCCCUUCGCUUCCCGCGCUUCCCCUUUUACGGGGCGUUUAACGACAAGGGUUUAAUAGCAGCUUCUCCGGGGAAAGCCCGAGCGUGCACGCUUGCUGCUUGAACACCGGUAAUGCUUAAAUAUCAAGCAUUAAUGGAAAUAACGGGGGGAAUGUCGGGGAAACAGAGGACAGACGGGCUUUCGCAUCCUUCCCCGGCCUGCGAGAGCGGUCCGUGCUGGGCGAAGGACGGCACGUGUCCUCGGGGCGGAUUAAAAAGCCCAUCAGGCAGAGGCACCGGCGUCCCCCCCUCGGCGCAGAGCCCCUCGCUUCCCGGGUGCAGGUCUGUCCUCCCGUGCCAAACCCCACGUGCGCCCCCCCCUCCCGUUUCCGACGCCGGCACGGAAAGCCGCGCGUGGAUCCCCUGCGCCUCCCGGACCUUGGCGAAUCCAUCCGACGUCCUACCUGGCUUCUCCCUGCCGCAGCUCCCAGCCCGGGACGUGCCGGCGGGUUUAUACGGCCCCGUCACCCCCCGCCGAGACGCAGGGACGGGAGAUUUUCCCACGGCCGACGGGCGCUCUCGAUUCCCCCGAAGCGGCCGGCUACACCCAUCGGGGGAGGCUCAGGGAUUUUUCCCAUCGGAAAGGGCCUUUGCUUGGAAAGGUCUCCUUUCCCAGGGCUUGCAGCCAAACCCACGGGGACUGCGGCAGCAGCAGGGAGCUGGGCAGGGGAUGGGCUGAGCUGCAGGCACCAAAAUCCACUGUCCCGGGGGGGGGCGGCGGGAGGCACCGCCGAGUGGCCCCCGACCCUUGGCAUCCCCAAGCUCUCGGGCACCUGGAUGCUCUUCCAGCCUGUCCGCCGGGAAACGCUCUGGUUUUUCUCCCCAUCCCCAUCAGGUGGGCUAAAAAUAGCUGCGACCUCCCUGCAGACCCCGUGGGGAAGGCUGCCGGCUGCCCCGCGGGUGAUGGGCACCGUCCCCGUUCCCCAGGGAACGGCUCCCACAGGCGCCCGGCCGAGGUGCUCGCCCGCUCCAAGCCCUUUCCCUCCCCAGCUGAGGGACCCUUUCCCUCCCUCCCGCUGCAGGGCGGGGGGCUCUUUCCCUACUCGUGUCCGUCCCCCCCCGUCGGUUUUUUGCCCCCCGCUCAAGUUCUCUUUGGCCUGAUUUUGGCGUGGCCAGGAGUACAGUUCUUAUGCGCUUCAAGAAACCGGAGCGACCCGAAAACGGCUUUCUGGCAGGUUUUGGCUCCCCGAUUCCGCUGGAGUGCGGAGAUGAGUCACGCGGCAGAGGGGCGUAACGUGGGGGCUGCUUGAAUCAGCCUGUCGCGAACUCACGCUAUUUAUCAAGAGGUGCUUUGCGACACCGGCUGCAGCGGCGGCCGGGAUCCGGUGGGGUUUGGCAAUGCCGGGCACGGCAGCCUCGCCGGGGCUCUGGCCGAGCGUCCCGGGGAGCAUCCCCCGUCGGUCCCUCGACGCCUCCAGCCGUGCGUCCCCCAGCAUCCCCACCGCUCGGUGGCAGCUUUAACCCUUCCAGCGCCGCUGCCGCCAGCUCCUAACCUCAGCUCCGCCGCUCUCGCUUCGGCGGCAGCCCCCCCGCCGCUCGCUCAGCGCCGGCCGUGCCCGAGGGAGCUGCCGCGGGGAUGGCUGCCGGCCGGUGCGCCGGCUUAUCUGAUGAGCGCGAGCGGCUGCGGGCCGGGGAGAACCACCAAAACACCAGCCCCUUUGUGGCCUCACCUGUGGCUUUCACCGAUUUCGCAUACGAGAAGCAAAAGUCACCGACACCGAGACGGUGGCGGCCGCUCCCUCGCCACGACGGCGGGUGAAGGAGGCCGCCCGCGGUGGUGACGCUUAUUGUAACGUACAGAGGGACCCUGCGGGUCCAUCGUGUGUUUCCACGCGUUGCCGCACGGCGCGUCGAACUGCUCCAUCCCCGCGGCCCCCCCCCCCGGGCUGUUUCACAUCCCGCCACCGAGCCUCGCGCUGUCGACAGGUGAAUUUAUCCGCAAUAAAGCACCGACGCUGCCGGCUCCCGCCCUCACCAGGAGCUUUUGGCUUUCCCCUCCUGCCCCGCAGGGCUGGGGCGGGGAGCGGGCGCCGCGCGAGCAGAGGGGGAAGCCGGGGAAAGGGCUCCCUCCUCCCUGAUUAUUUCAGCAUGCGGCCGCAGGAGCCCAGCGCUGGGAGCGACGCGCCGUUUCGUGGCCAACUUGGCUGGACCUCGAGGGAUCGCAAGCCCCCCCCCCCGAUGAAGCCAGGAGCUGCGGAGGGCUGGAGGCAUCGCAGCCCCACGCCGGCUACCCGGCAGCAGCGUCAAGCCUCUCGCUGGGCCGUGGCCCCUAACGCUUGGAUAUCGCCCCAAAAAACCCCAAGAGGAUGGGUGGUCUUCGAUCCAGCGCUCCUCAGGGACAUCCCUGGAGCUCGCCCCAGCAGAGCACGAGCCGGUGGGAAAUGUCCUACCUGCAGGGACGGCGGAAGAAAUCACUGCACGAGCAUCCCACAGGAGGAAGAGGAGGAGGAGGAAGAGGGCUGGCACAUGCCCACGUGGUCAGAAAACACUCGUCCCGCUCCCCUCCCACCUCCUUCCCCCCUGAAUAUUGCAACAAAAAUGGAAAAUGUUCUGGCAGUCAUUAGCAGCUCCCUGGAAAAAGCCGGUUUGCUGGCCCAGCUUCAAAACCCAGGUCGCCAGAAACUCCCCGACCUCUGCGGCAUGUGGCCGCGAGCUUCGUGGAAAGCCAGAGUUUUCUGCAAAAAGGGGGGGUGCGGGGGUUUUUUGGUAAUUUUUUUUGUCAUUGUCAAAAAAAUUCAAUUUUUUUCCUUCUAAAAAGAAAAGCAGCAGCCCCCAAACGGGUGGAAACCGUUCCAGCUGGGCCCGGGGCAGGGGGUAGCAUCAGCUGGCACCAGCCGCUCAGGGAAAGUGCUGCCUUCGCAGAGCUUCAGCCCUUGCAGCGCCGCGGGACGGGGAGAAAACCCGAUAGCUAGAGAAGAAAACUUGCCCCCCCCCCCCCCAAAAAAAAGAAAAAAAAAAGAAAA
Molecule: long non-coding RNA, 4548 nt
Organism: Grus americana (Whooping crane)
Lineage: Eukaryota; Metazoa; Chordata; Aves; Gruiformes; Gruidae
Exons: 4
Source: RefSeq, a predicted model, not a curated record